CAGUCGCCGCGGUAAUACGUAGGUGGCAAGCGUUGUCCGGAAUUAUUGGGCGUAAAGGGCUCGCAGGCGGUUUCUUAAGUCUGAUGUGAAAGCCCCCGGCUUAACCGGGGAGGGUCAUUGGAAACUGGGAAACUUGAGUGCAGAAGAGGAGAGUGGAAUUCCACGUGUAGCGGUGAAAUGCGUAGAGAUGUGGAGGAACACCAGUGGCGAAGGCGACUCUCUGGUCUGUAACUUACGCUGAGGAGCGAAAGCGUGGGGAGCGAACAGGAUUAGAUACCCGCGUAGUCCCUGUCUCUUAUAC
RNAcentral lists this ribosomal RNA (301 nucleotides) under uncultured bacterium. RNAcentral's name for it is "partial 16S ribosomal RNA". It matches the Rfam family "Bacterial small subunit ribosomal RNA", at positions 509 to 807 of the family's 1533-position model. The record is from RNAcentral.